RNAcentral lists this ribosomal RNA (253 nucleotides) under uncultured bacterium. Its description in RNAcentral is "partial 16S ribosomal RNA". It matches the Rfam family "Bacterial small subunit ribosomal RNA", at positions 524 to 776 of the family's 1533-position model. The record is from RNAcentral.
UACGUAGGGUGCGAGCGUUAAUCGGAAUUACUGGGCGUAAAGCGUGCGCAGGCGGCGCGUUAAGUCAGGUGUGAAAGCCCCGAGCUUAACUUGGGAAUUGCGCUUGUGACUGGCGUGCUGGAGUGUGGCAGAGGGAGGUGGAAUUCCACGUGUAGCAGUGAAAUGCGUAGAGAUGUGGAGGAACACCGAUGGCGAAGGCAGCCUCCUGGGCCAGCACUGACGCUCAUGCACGGAAGCGUGGGGAGCAAACAGG